Molecule: small RNA, 905 nt
Filed under: Histoplasma capsulatum
Lineage: Eukaryota; Fungi; Ascomycota; Eurotiomycetes; Onygenales; Ajellomycetaceae
Also listed under: 1 other name
Description: hypothetical RNA
Source: RNAcentral
CGCCAACAGAAUAAGUCAUCACGGCAUAAAAUAUAGGAACAGCAUUCAUCAGAACUUGGAGGAUCAUGCCGCCGGUUCCUAAGGCCAUCCAUGAUCCGUCCAAAUAAGGUGAGCUGUUCCUCCUCACUCUGCUGAAGGUGCAUUUCUAUAGUCUUAUUUGUAACGAAGAGAGGGAGCAAGUGUUCUCUGGUGCAUAGAGCUGACUGUCCGAGACAUUGUGACCAUCAACGCCACUCCUCCAAGUGCUUCCGCGCAUCUGGGUCGUAAUGAUCGAGGGCAGUUUUCAUGAGCUGUGCAUUCGUCAGCCUUGCAGCGUCAACCACAGCGCCAUCUAGACCGAAGGAGCGUAUAACUCCGUCAUCGGCAACAUGUUUAUAUCCGCCAGGGGCACUCUUCAAGCGGCCGAUAAUGUCGUGCACACUCUAUGUCUAGGCACAUAUCCAAUGUCAACUUUAGCUUGAUGAGUUCCCCUAGAGGAAGUAUUUAAGUCUUCGGAACUGAGAACUGAGAAUGGGAACUACCUUAGCAAGCUCAAACUCAGUACCCUGAUUUCAAACAGAAAGGUACUGAUAUGUCAGAAUUGCUUCUCACCCACAUCGCUUUGAGAAGAACACAGUUACAUAACUUACUCCCGUUCUUGUCCACCCAGCAACAACACCAAGAAGAGCAAACGAAUGCGAAAAUCGAAGCUUCAUAGCUGAAGAUUAGAAAAAUGGAUUGAAGCAGAUAAAAAUCUUCCCCGGGCCCCCUCCCUCCAAAAUUAAAACGAACAGAUAAUAAGAAGAAAGCGCAAAUAUAAAACCGUGCCAAGCGCCCUCCUUACUCCCGUUCGUGAGUGCGCCACUAUUUUGAGGAUGCUGAACUUUAAAAAUUAUAAUCAAUCACCACGCAUCUAUAUACCCACU